RNAcentral lists this long non-coding RNA (5145 nucleotides) under Gossypium barbadense (sea-island cotton). RNAcentral describes it as "long non-coding RNA (GBAR_LNC008767)". The record is from RNAcentral. Lineage: Eukaryota; Viridiplantae; Streptophyta; Magnoliopsida; Malvales; Malvaceae.
AAUUUUUUGCUACCCAUUUCUAAAGGAGUUUCAUCUUCUCUUUUCUCUCAAUCUGGCUGCCUUGGCCGAAGUUUCUCCUGGCAAACGUAAUCUGGAACUCCUCCCAAUAGGUAAUGGCUUUCUCCCCUCUUCAGAGCCUCUUUCGCAAGAACAUGGGCAUAUGUAUUCUCUUUUUUAGGGAUAAACUGAAACCCUAUCUCUUGAAAUUUAACUUUUUUGUUUUGGAUAUCUCUGAUGAGUGCUCCAAUGGCUGAUUUGUCAAGAUCUGUACUUUGGCAUUUCUUUAUAAUCUCCCAUUAUUUCCAGUUUGUUUAAGCUCAUAUAAAUUCCUAAUCUCAUGGCUUGUAAUCCUGCAUGUGCUUCCGUAGCAAACGAAAUUGCUAUAUCGGAGUGAAUGACCGUCUUAGAUGCUAAGAUCUCGCCCCCCACAUCUCGUACAAUCAAACCCGAAGCAUAUUUGAAGGAUUGCUGGUCAAAGGCUGCAUCAAAAUAGAUUGUUACCCUUGUUCUUCGAUUAACAUGUUGAAGGCCUUUGCCAGCCUGAAAGGUGAGUUUCUUUUUUUUUAUUCCAUCCAACUCAGAGAUGUAACUGUAUAUUUGCUUCAAAAUGUAUCUUCCUGUCACAUUUUUUCUUUCAUACAGUAACCGAUUUCUAUUGGACCAGAUUAGCCAAAGCCCGCAACAGAAAAGUCAACAUUGUUCACUAAUCCCUCGACUAAAGACCUAGGUAAGCUAUUCCCACAUACUGUGAAUAUCGUUGUUAAGAACCUAGGAAAGAUAUAAGUAAAUCCAAACAUCCAUUAUAGGAUACUGUCGAAAAAUAUGGUUACUAUCUUCCUUAUAUUGACGACACCGAGGGCAUUGAGCAUCCAUCGCCACUUUCUUAUGCUUAAGGUUGACGAGUAGGAAUAAAAUUCCAGGAGAUUCUCCAUACUGGUAUUGUAACUUUUGAGGGGAUGUAUAAAUUCCAUAGUUUCCUGUAGAAAUUUUUUGUUUCGGCUUGUAUAAUAUAAUUACUAGGACCAAGUUAGUCUCCUGUAAUAGUUUAUAGGCACUUCUGAGAGUUCGCCUCUCCACACUUGAAAAUUGUCAUAUGUUAUCUCCGCCAGAGGAAUCUGCAUGAUUUUUUUUUGCAAUAUCUGUAUGAAAGGUAUUCAUAAUAACAUCUGUUUUCCAGGUCUUGUCAAUAGCCUCAUUUAAAUCCGAUACUAACUUGAUGUUUUCAUUGUUGUCUUGGUUCUGUAAUCUGUCUGCCUCUUCUUCCGAAAUUCAUAAAUCAUCCCAAACGAAAAUUUGAUCCCCCGUUCCAACCCUCCAGCAUAGACCUUUCUACAGAAGUCCUCUUGUUGCCCAUACAUUUUUCCAGGUAAGCGAAGGUAAAUUCCCUAACCUAGCAUUAUAGAAAUUCGAGUUAGGAUAAUAUUUUGCCUUCAAGACACGGGCUAAUAAAGAAUUUGGAAAAUUAAUAAGACGCCAACCCUGCUUUGCUAAUAACACUAUGUUAAAUUUUUCAAAAUUUCGAAAAUCAAGACCACCAUCUUAUUUUAACGAGCAUAGUUCCUGCCAAGCACACCAAUGGAUGCCUUUUUUAUCUCGACCUUUUUGCCACUAAAAUUUAGCUAUAGUACCUUCCAAAUCAGCACAUAAAGAUUUAGGGAGUAAAAAACAAGCCAUAGUAUAAAUUGGAAUGGAUUGUAGUAUAGCCUUUAUGAAAACCUUUUUUCCUCCUUAAGAGAGAUGCCUUAUACUCCAGUUAUCAAUUCGUUGUUCAAAUUUGUCCUUUCAAGACUUGAAAAAACGAUUUCUUGUUUCUUCCCACCAUAUUAGGGAGACCAAGGUACCGUUUUGAGUUAUUUGAUCUACGCACUCCAAGUACAUUAGAAACUAUUAUUUUUUCCCCAUCCUACAUAUUAGUACCGAAAAAUACUGUUCCCUUAUCAAAGUUAACACAAUAAUCUGAACAAAUCUCAUAUUCUUUCAAAAUCUGCUUUAGAGAAUGUGUUCCUCUUUCAGUAUCAUCUGUUUGCUUGUACUCUUCUUAGUAUAUUUUCUUUUAUUGCAAGCCUCAUAAGACUAGAGAGGCCUUCCCCACAAAAUAAAAAUAGAAACGGACUCAAGGGAUCUCCCUGUCUUAAUCCUCUAGUCGGAUGAAAAAUUUCCCCAAUGUGUCCAUUGAAAACCACCGAGUACGAUAUUGUAGAUGCACAUUUCAUUAAAGAAUCAACCCAUCUAGAAUCAAAACCCAUUCUCUUCAUUAUUUCUUCCACAAAAUUUCAUUCAACCCUGUUGUAUGCUUUGUUCAUAUCUAAUUUUACCACCAUAAACCCUUUUUUCCCCACCUUCUUGUGCUUUAAUGUGUGUAAAAUUUCAUAAGCCAGUAACACAUUAUAAAAAAUCAAUCUCCCAGGUACAAAAGCACUUUGUGCUAAAUCAAUACAUUUAUCAACCACUACCCGAAGACGAUUAGCAAUGACUUUAGCUAUCAAUUUAUAAAGCACAUUACAUAAGCUAAUUGGUCUAAAUUGAGUAAUACUAGAAGGGUUUGAAUUUUUCAGUAUUAGCAUAAUAUUUGUUUUAUUGAUCGAAUUUAUAUCCAUAUCUUCAUUCAGUCAUUGAAGACAAAAGGCUGAAAUAUCUUCUCCGAUGAUCGGCCAACACUUUGAUAAAAUAAGGCCGGAAAAUCGUUCUCUCCUGGUGUUUUUGUGGGACCUAAUUCUGAUAAUGCUUCUUGUAUCUCCUCCUUAGUGUAACUCACUUUUAGCCUAAAAUUGUCUUCAUCAGAAAUACAACAAUCGAUCCCUGACAAAAUAUGUACAUAAUUUCCUUACCUCCCAGCUGAAAAUAAUCUCUGAAAAUACGAUCUAGCAAUUUCUUCCAUUUCCCUAACCUUUUCCUUCUCCCUACCAUUAUCAAACUGCAUUUUGCGAAUAAAAUUUCUUCUUCUCCUCUGUGUCGCUUGCUUAUGAAAAAACGUGGUAUUUCUAUCUCCAAAUUUCAGCUAGUUUACUCGAGCUCUCUAUUCCCAGUAGCACUCAUCAUUCUUAAUCUCAAAAUUUAGUUGUAUCUUUGUGUCAGUGAGUUCUGGCAAGUUUUCAUCAUUUCUAUCGGAUUCCAACAAUUUUGUCAAUUUAGAAGUUAAUGCCUCCUUUUUUAUUUUCAUGCUGCACCGAAUUUGAUUAGCCCACCUCUCUAAGCCUUUCUUCAUACUUUCUAACUUGCUCAGUAGAUCUCCUGUGGAAUUCUCCCAAAUGUACCUAACCUCCUCAACAAAUGUUCCCUCCAAAACCCCCAAUCUUCAAACUUAAAACUUUUAUUAAAUUGCCCUUUAACUUCACGUUCUGUAGUAAUGAAUACAGGACAAUGGUUUGAAAAAGAAUGAAGAAGGUGUUGAAUUAAGGAAUCUGAAAAUAAAGAUAUCCAUUCUUCAGUGGCCACUCCUCUAUCUAAUCUUUCUUGAAUGUUCGUUUUCGACAAAUUUCCUCUCCCUAAGUGAGCCAGUUUCCUGAAUAACCCAUAUAAACUAGAUUACAAUCUUCCAAUGCCUUUUGAAAAGCUUUUAUUUGUCUCUCCUCUCGAGGUAAGCCUCCAUUCUUUUCAAAACCAUACAUAAUUUCAUUAAAGUCCCUACAAACUAGCCAUGGAGACUCUCCAUCAUUAUGUAAGUGUCCUAAAAGAUGCUAUGAUUCAUUCUUGUCCUGUGUGUAGGGAGAACCACAAAAACCAGUAAAUCUCCACUUGUUUCUAUCAUCUGUAUCUUCGAUUAUCACAUCAAUAUGUCAGUUUGAAAAACUCUGGAGCGUAAUAUUAACAUCCCCACGCCAUGCUAAACAUAAUCCUCAUCUAAAACCAAUCGAUUCAACAUUGAUACCAUUAUGAAAACCACAACUCCUUUGAACUCUUUCCAUCUGACUUCUGUUAAUUUUUGUCUCCAUGAAGAAGACCAUAUGAGGAUUGUAUAACUUCAGCAAAUGCCGAAGUCUUCGAAAUGCCUGUGUAUUCUCCAAUCCAUGGGCAUUCGAACUUAAGAUUUUUAUUGCGCCCAGUCGGCUUGCCUCUUGGCAGUCGCCGAUGAUAAAUGAUUAAUUUCCAACAACCUUCUAUUUUUAACCACCAUAAUGUUGUUUUCUUCAAUCUCCCCCCAGCUCUCUUUUCCCUCUCCUCUACUAUUAACACAUCAUCUUCUAGAUCAUGAUCCAUUGCAGUUUGAGCUUGACCUGUCAAUAAAUUUUCCUUCAUUGGCGUGAAGAGAACGUUCUUCCUUCCAAAUUAAAACCUAAAAUAGGGUCAAUAACCUUGUAAUACCCUUGUUUUUUGCCUACUCCCCACCCACUGUUGCCUUGUGUUCGUUCGUCUGUGCUGUUUCCACCUAGUACUCCUUCUCCUUCCUCACGUAGCCAAACUCUAUUCAUUGCUUAGGCUCUUCGAGAUUGUGCUCGCAAUGAUUAGUCCCAACCCAUCUAAGUGAUUUCUACCCCUAAUGCCACAUUUGUUUCACAAAAAGAGUCACUAUGACCUAAACGACCACAAUAGAAACAAAAAAGGGAAAUCUUUCAUACUUAAAUCUGACAUAUGAGUAUUUCCCACAAAACAUAACUUGUUUCUUCCUUUUAAGAGGACGCCGAAUAUCUAUUUGGACUUGUAUUCUCAUAAAUUUUGAUUUUCUUUCCCCAGAUUCGAACCAUCAUACUCCAUAAAAUUUCCUAUGAAAUUACCCAAUUGUAUAGCCAGAUUAUCAAAGAAAAAAACCUAUGAGAAUAGCAUGAAUUUGUACCCAGAAAGGUGUUAAAAUUAAAGGGACUUUUAAUGGGUUAUCCCCCACUUGCAGCUUGUAUAACACCAAUAAAUGAUUAUUAAAAGUCCAUGGUGAUCCCUUCAAAACCCUUUCUAUAUUUAUAACAUGAAAAAAUUGAAAUAAAUACCUUUUCUCCCCCAGAUCUCGAAUUUGAACAUCCCGAACAAGGUGCCAUAAGUUAGCCAUAGUGUUUUUCAUUGCUAGGAAGUGAAUAAUACUGGUCGUUAAAAAACACUCCACCAAUCUAAAGGCCCCUUUUUCUCUUUUCGUAUUCGGAUAUACUUGUAUUUGUAAAAUUGCUUCUUCUUCUUCAUUAAGCGUUAAUCUAGCAAAGUCAGUUUCCAUGGAUGCAG